RNAcentral lists this small RNA (1870 nucleotides) under Pan troglodytes (chimpanzee). Its description in RNAcentral is "retained intron". Lineage: Eukaryota; Metazoa; Chordata; Mammalia; Primates; Hominidae. The record is from RNAcentral.
GGUUUGGCGCACUUGGGGCUGCUGGGCGGCUGGCUGACUCGGGCCUCUAUGACACUAUUGGUAGCGGGGAGAGAAGGGAGAAGCUGGAGUUAGAUUUCAGGGUGUUAAGAAGAAGGAUAAGUGGAUUUGCUGCAUCUCCAUCCUGGCAUCAUUUCUGAUGUCCGUAAAUGCUAAAGGCCUAUUAGGCCCCAUAGAACCAGGUAUCUCAUCGCCCAGAGGCCACAUCUCACAGCCAGCAUGGGCAUCAGGGCCUAGGGUCAUGUCCCUGGCUCUGUUGUGGGGCUCUUUUGCAGUCUCCCUUGCAUAAUCUCCUGUUCCCUUUUGCAUGGGCAUGAUGCCUGGUUUGUUUCCUGUCUCAGCCGUGAGGAGGAAGACAUAACAGUGUUGGUGACUCCAGAGAAACCACUUCGACGGGGCCUCUCCCACCGAAGUGACCCAAAUGCAGUGGCACCUGCCCCCCAGGGUGUGAGGCUCAGCCUAGGCCCCCUCAGUCCAGAGAAGCUGGAGGAGAUCCUCGAUGAGGCCAACCGGCUGGCCGCUCAGCUGGAGCAGUGUGCCCUGCAGGAUCGGGAGAGCGCAGGCGAGGGCCUGGGGCCUCGCCGAGUGAAGCCCAGUCCUCGGCGGGAGACCUUUGUGCUGAAGGAUAGUCCUGUCCGAGACCUGCUGCCCACUGUGAACUCUUUGACGCGGAGCACCCCCUCCCCAAGCAGCCUGACGCCUCGACUCCGGAGUAAUGAUAGGAAGGGGUCAGUCAGGGCUCUCCGGGCUACAUCUGGAAAGAGGCCCUCCAACAUGAAGAGGGAGUCACCCACUUGCAAUCUGUUCCCUGCAUCCAAAAGCCCAGCAUCUUCUCCUCUUACCCGAUCGAAUCCCCCAGUCCGGGGGAGAGCUGGGCCCAGUGGGAGAGCAGCAGCCAGCCCACCCACCCCCAUCAGAUCCGUCCUGGCCCCACAGCCUUCUACCAGCAACUCUCAACGCCUGCCCCGGCCGCAGGGAGCAGCUGCUAAAUCUUCCAGUCAACUGCCCAUUCCCUCAGCCAUCCCCAGGCCUGCCAGCCGAAUGCCACUCACCAGCCGGAGUGUGCCACCUGGCAGAGGUGCCCUACCUCCGGAUUCUCUGUCAACUCGAAAAGGGCUUCCAAGACCAAGCACUGCAGGACCCAGAGUGCGGGAAAGUGGACACAAGGUUCCUGUUUCCCAGCGACUAAAUCUUCCUGUCAUGGGUGCCACUCGCAGCAAUCUGCAGCCCCCCAGGAAAGUGGCAGUCCCAGGACCUACCAGGUAAAGAGAUCAGGACAGCAAGCAAGACUUCAGUAGCAAACCACUACAGUCAGUACCUGGACUCGCCUCUACCCAGCAGACCCUGACUCCAGCAGAUUCUGGCCCAGGGACAGGAGGAAGAGAUGCCACCAGGGCUGGUCUCCCAGGAGUAGAGACCAUGGGAAAUGGGGUGGAUUAGGAUUGAGCUGGAGAAGACUUAAACUCUCUGGGUUGAAAGAAGAUUAGGGGAAAAGAGGUCACCUUCCAGCAGUGAAAUGAACAAAUAGAAGAUGAGAAGUACAGGCAAGUGGUUUGUCUUUAUCCACCCCCACUGUUGUGGUCAGCCCCAGAGAAUUUUAUCUUCUUCCUUGGCAUUGGUUCACUGGACAUUUCCAUGUGAGCGGCCUCCGUAGCUAACCUCCCUGCCCUCUGAGGAGCCAUCUUCCUGAAUCGCAUUCUCUACUGGACUCUGGCCUGCUUGGAGAGGUGGCAGCAGGCACCUGGUCUUCAGAAAUUGUUUCCUGUGAAUUCUGUGACUCCUAAUAGGCCAGUUUGUGAUAAGCUUACUCUAUGAGUCUUCAUUUUUCUAAAAUAAAGUGAAUGUAUUUUUA